RNAcentral lists this transfer RNA (87 nucleotides) under Ignavibacteriaceae bacterium. RNAcentral's name for it is "tRNA-Leu". It matches the Rfam family "tRNA". From Rfam's summary of the family: Transfer RNA (tRNA) molecules are approximately 80 nucleotides in length. The record is from RNAcentral. Lineage: Bacteria; Pseudomonadati; Ignavibacteriota; Ignavibacteria; Ignavibacteriales; Ignavibacteriaceae.
GCGGAAGUGGUGAAAUUGGUAUACACGCUACUUUGAGGGGGUAGUGCCCGUUCGGGCGUAGGGGUUCAAGUCCCCUCUUCCGCACCA